This 271-nucleotide ribosomal RNA is filed under the name uncultured prokaryote. Its description in RNAcentral is "partial 16S ribosomal RNA". It matches the Rfam family "Bacterial small subunit ribosomal RNA", at positions 524 to 794 of the family's 1533-position model. The record is from RNAcentral.
UACGUAGGUGGCGAGCGUUGUCCGGAUUUACUGGGCGUAAAGGGAGCGUAGGCGGACUUUUAAGUGAGAUGUGAAAUACCCGGGCUUAACUUGGGUGCUGCAUUUCAAACUGGAAGUCUAGAGUGCAGGAGAGGAGAAUGGAAUUCCUAGUGUAGCGGUGAAAUGCGUAGAGAUUAGGAAGAACACCAGUGGCGAAGGCGAUUCUCUGGACUGUAACUGACGUUGAGGCUCGAAAGCGUGGGGAGCAAACAGGAUUAGAUACCCUGGUAGU